This 460-nucleotide ribosomal RNA is filed under the name uncultured bacterium. RNAcentral's name for it is "partial 16S ribosomal RNA". It matches the Rfam family "Bacterial small subunit ribosomal RNA", at positions 338 to 795 of the family's 1533-position model. The record is from RNAcentral.
CCUACGGGGGGCAGCAGUGAGGAAUAUUGGUCAAUGGGCGGAAGCCUGAACCAGCCAAGUCGCGUGAAGGAAUAAGGCCCUACGGGUCGUAAACCUCUUUUGCCGGGGAGCACGGGCCGGGACGCGUCCCGGCCCGGAGAGUACCCGGAGAAAAAGCAUCGGCUAACUCCGUCCCCGCAGCCGCGGUAAUACGGGGGAUGCGAGCUUUAUCGGGAUUUAUUGGGUUUAGAGGGUGCGUAGGCGGGCUUUUAAGUCAGCGGUAAAGAUUCGGGGCUCAACCCCGUCCGGCCGUUGAAACUGGGGGCCUUGAGUGGGCGAGAAGAAGGCGGAAUGCGUGGUGUAGCGGUGAAAUGCAUAGAUAUCACGCAGAACCCCGAUUGCGAAGGCAGCCUUCCGGCGCCCUACUGACGCUGAGGCACGAAAGUGCGGGGAUCGAACAGGAUUAGAUACCCGGGUAGUC